RNAcentral lists this ribosomal RNA (433 nucleotides) under uncultured bacterium. RNAcentral describes it as "partial 16S ribosomal RNA". It matches the Rfam family "Bacterial small subunit ribosomal RNA", at positions 29 to 507 of the family's 1533-position model. The record is from RNAcentral.
AACGAACGCUGGCGGCAUGCCUAACACAUGCAAGUCGAACGAGACCUUCGGGUCUAGUGGCGCACGGGUGCGUAACGCGUGGGAACCUGCCCUUAGGUUCGGAAUAACUCCCCGACAGGGGUGCUAAUACCGGAUAAUGUCUUCGGCCCAAAGAUUUAUCGCCUUUGGAUGGGCCCGCGUUGGAUUAGCUAGUUGGUAGGGUAAAAGCCUACCACGGCGACGAUCCAUAACUGGUUUGAGAGGAUGAUCAGCCACACUGGGACUGAGACACGGCCCAGACUCCUACGGGAGGCAGCAGUGGGGAAUAUUGGACAAUGGGCGAAGGCCUGAUCCAGCAAUGCCGCGUGAGUGAUGAAGGCCUUAGGGUUGUAAAGCUCUUUUACCCGGGAUGAUAAUGACAGUACCGGGAGAAUAAGCUCCGGCUAACUCCGUG